Lolium rigidum is the source of this 288-nucleotide long non-coding RNA. RefSeq lists it as uncharacterized. The record is from RefSeq and is a predicted model, not a curated record. Lineage: Eukaryota; Viridiplantae; Streptophyta; Magnoliopsida; Poales; Poaceae. The transcript is spliced from 3 exons.
GUCAGAUGAGUAUCACUGAUCUUAAUUCAGAGGCUAGCUACUACUGAUAAAGAUCCUGACCAUGACCAUCCAAUGGAGUCUAAUCGCCUUCAUCGGGAUGCACCUGGUGUGUGCUAAUAUUUUUGUCCUUUGCUACGCACAAAAGCUCGUGGCCGGGAGAGCUGCAGUAUACGGCGGGCAGUCGAGUCCUCAGCAAAAGGCAGUGCCGUGAUGUGAAGCAGCCAACAUAAUCAAAGAAUAGGAAGUUUGCGCCUCCUGGACCCCGCCGCCGCGUGCCUCCUGGACCCC